Molecule: ribosomal RNA, 926 nt
Filed under: uncultured Bacteroidota bacterium
Lineage: Bacteria; Pseudomonadati; Bacteroidota
Description: bacterial SSU rRNA
Rfam family: Bacterial small subunit ribosomal RNA
Source: RNAcentral
UGGAUCCAGACUUUGAUCAUGGCUCAGGAUGAACGCUAGCUACAGGCUUAACACAUGCAAGUCGAGGGGAAACGACAUCGAAAGCUUACUUUUGAUGGGCGUCGACCGGCGCACGGGUGAGUAACGCGUAUCCAACCUGCCCACCACUUGGGGAUAACCUUGCGAAAGUAAGACUAAUACCCAAUGAUAUCUCUAGAAGACAUCUGAAAGAGAUUAAAGAUUUAUCGGUGAUGGAUGGGGAUGCGUCUGAUUAGCUUGUUGGCGGGGUAACGGCCCACCAAGGCAACGAUCAGUAGGGGUUCUGAGAGGAAGGUCCCCCACAUUGGAACUGAGACACGGUCCAAACUCCUACGGGAGGCAGCAGUGAGGAAUAUUGGUCAAUGGACGAGAGUCUGAACCAGCCAAGUAGCGUGCAGGAAGACGGCCCUAUGGGUUGUAAACUGCUUUUAUAAGGGAAUAAAGUGAGAGUCGUGACUCUUUUUGCAUGUACCUUAUGAAUAAGGACCGGCUAAUUCCGUGCCAGCAGCCGCGGUAAUACGGAAGGUCCGGGCGUUAUCCGGAUUUAUUGGGUUUAAAGGGAGCGUAGGCUGGAGAUUAAGCGUGUUGUGAAAUGUAGACGCUCAACGUCUGCACUGCAGCGCGAACUGGUUUCCUUGAGUACGCACAAAGUGGGCGGAAUUCGUGGUGUAGCGGUGAAAUGCUUAGAUAUCACGAAGAACUCCGAUUGCGAAGGCAGCUCACUGGAGCGCAACUGACGCUGAAGCUCGAAAGUGCGGGUAUCGAACAGGAUUAGAUACCCUGGUAGUCCGCACGGUAAACGAUGGAUGCCCGCUGUUGGUCUGAAUAGGUCAGCGGCCAAGCGAAAGCAUUAAGCAUCCCACCUGGGGAGUACGCCGGCAACGGUGCAACUCAAAGGAAUUGACGGA